AAAGUUUGACUCUGCACUACAAUAUUAUUUAUUAUUUAAAUUUACACCAUUAUAAUAUUUGGGGUCAGACCCUACAGUAUUGAGAUUAAGAAAUCAAAUAUUCUUCAAAAUGUAAAUACACUGAACUCAUUUGGAUAUAUUUAAGUGAGACUCUACAAUAUUAUUUGACACAAAUCUAUCUAAAUCAACAUUUUAAUAAUUUCCACGCCAAACAUUUACUGGACUGAUUUAAAUAUUAAAAUCACUCCUUUCUAAUCCUCUGCUGUACGUUCAAACCUGAGGCCUUAAAUAGAAACACACAAGUAUCUGAUUGAAGGAACUUCUGCAGAGUCCUGGUUCCAGAACAUGAUGAUAGAAUUAUAGACAAACUUUAACAAAAGCUGCCUGAGAGUUUACAGGUUUUUAUGUUCGAUUUCUUCACUAAUUUAAUGAGUUAUCAGCAAAAAUCAAGUGUUCAUUUGAUGAACUUCAUUUCCUAAAACAUCCAGAAUUGGAGCUCAUAUCUUUGGCAGCUGUAAAGUUUCUGCUCCUUCAAAGUUCACAACACAAUGAAUGAAUUCCUAAAACACUCUCAAUGCUGGAGAGCGUUUGUGAUGCUGAAGCAGUGACCAGUUUUUCUGUUUCUUCUCUGGAGAUGCACAAUGAGGGACGUCUGCAGAGACUGAGAAAGAGUCUCACCACAUCCUGACAUGAGGAAAAAGACUUUAUUGAAGACUACAAUGAGAAAAACUAUCAGACAGCAGACGGCUGCAUUCAAGUCUGUAGCUGCUGAAUUCAUGGAUGAAUCAUCUGGCACUAGAGAGGAAGACCAUCAAACAUCCACGUCAGCUGAUGGCGGUCCAAGAGUCUCACCCAACAAACAACCUACAGAGUGAAGACCUCGAAUUUGAUUGGACGGCCUCCUAUUCAGCCACAUGUGUGAACAAAUGCCGCCGAGCCUCGGUCCAGCCGGCCGCCUGUCUGUGGGUGUUUGAGUGCUGAGAGGUUUGUGGAUGCAUGUGAACGUUCUGUGUUGAAACAGCAGCUUUUCACUCAGUAAUGGCACUAAAAAUGAAGAGCUCCUUUAUUUGUGACUUCCACUAAAAAAACUGAUGAAAAUAAGUUUGCCAGGGUUCUGACUGAUAACAGAUUAUUAAAUAAUGAAAAUAAUUGUUUAAAUAUUCCUUUAAACAAUCCUUUUAGGUCUACAUUUCCUUUACACUGACUUCUUGGUAUAUGUACAAGUAUUUUGGGUGGAAUAUACCAUUAAGCCCAAUGUUCAAGGGUUCUUCUGGGAAUAUACCAUUAAACCAACCUUUUAGGUAAAUGUUCCAGGAUGUUGGGUAGAAUAUACCAUCAGAUCAACCUUUUAGGUCUACAGUGGAAGAUUUUAGAGUAGAAUAUUACUCCAAACCAUCCUUUAGGUCUACAUUUAAGGUGGAAUACUCCUUUACACCAAGAUUUUUUGGUCUACAUUGAAGGAUUUUAGGUGGAAUAUUCCUUUGAACAAACUUUUUAAGUUUAUGUUCAAGGAUGUUGGGUGGAAUAUACCAUCAGACCAACCUCCAAGGUCUACAGUAGUGAAUUUUAGGUGGAAUAUACCAUUAAACUCACCUUUUAGGUCUACAUUGGAGGAUUUUAGGUGGAAUUUUCUUCCAAACCGUCUUUUAGUCUACAUUUAAGGAUGUUUAGGAUGGUAUAUUCUUCCAAACCAACUUCUCAGGUCUACAUUUCAGGUGGAAUAUUCCUCCAUACUAACUUUUUUGGUCUACACUGAAGAAUUUUUUCUAAACCACCCUUUCAGGUCUAUAUUUGAGGUUUUAGGUGGAAUAUUCCUUUUAACCAGCCCCUCAGGUCUCUUUGAGGAUUUUGGAUGGAAUACUCGGUUAAACCAACAUUUUAGGUGCAUGUCCAAGGAUUUUUGGUGGAAUGUUCCUUUAAGGUGGAUGUUUGAGGACCUUGUAGGUGGAAUACUUCCUGAAACCAACCUUUUAGGUCAACAUUCAAAGAUUUAAGGUGGAAUAUUCCUUUAAACCAACCUAAAUUUCAUGUUUUGAUCAUUAUCAAGUGAGAAACCUCAAUCCAGACUCCUCAUAAUGACGUUUGAGAUUUAUGCUGCUGUUAUUUGUUUAGUCCAGACUAAAUGACAGAAAUCCACAACUGUAAUUUUAUUUCAGGACUCGGUUAUUAAAUGUCAAAACAAUCCAUGUGACUCUAAAAACUCAACAGCUUUACAAACUCUAAGAUUAAACUCUCCACAAGGAUCCAAAAUAAGUUGGACUUCUACAUGAGAGCUUUAAUUAUUCUUCAUCUACUUCCUGAAAAGUUUGGUCAAUAAAAAAGACAAAAACUAAUAUUUUCAGCUGAACUAAAGACAGACUUUGUGAUUUUUCUGCUCACAUGUUGUGUUGUUGUAAACUUACUCUUUCAAAUAAAUAUCCUCCUAACCCCCUGGAAA
Amphiprion ocellaris (clown anemonefish) is the source of this 2437-nucleotide long non-coding RNA. RefSeq lists it as uncharacterized. The record is from RefSeq and is a predicted model, not a curated record. The transcript has 2 exons. NCBI's taxonomy places the organism in Eukaryota, Metazoa, Chordata, Actinopteri, Pomacentridae.